RNAcentral lists this ribosomal RNA (1523 nucleotides) under Klebsiella pneumoniae. Its description in RNAcentral is "bacterial SSU rRNA". It matches the Rfam family "Bacterial small subunit ribosomal RNA". Lineage: Bacteria; Pseudomonadati; Pseudomonadota; Gammaproteobacteria; Enterobacterales; Enterobacteriaceae. The record is from RNAcentral.
AAAUUGAAGAGUUUGAUCAUGGCUCAGAUUGAACGCUGGCGGCAGGCCUAACACAUGCAAGUCGAGCGGUAGCACAGAGAGCUUGCUCUCGGGUGACGAGCGGCGGACGGGUGAGUAAUGUCUGGGAAACUGCCUGAUGGAGGGGGAUAACUACUGGAAACGGUAGCUAAUACCGCAUAACGUCGCAAGACCAAAGUGGGGGACCUUCGGGCCUCAUGCCAUCAGAUGUGCCCAGAUGGGAUUAGCUAGUAGGUGGGGUAACGGCUCACCUAGGCGACGAUCCCUAGCUGGUCUGAGAGGAUGACCAGCCACACUGGAACUGAGACACGGUCCAGACUCCUACGGGAGGCAGCAGUGGGGAAUAUUGCACAAUGGGCGCAAGCCUGAUGCAGCCAUGCCGCGUGUGUGAAGAAGGCCUUCGGGUUGUAAAGCACUUUCAGCGGGGAGGAAGGCGGUGAGGUUAAUAACCUCACCGAUUGACGUUACCCGCAGAAGAAGCACCGGCUAACUCCGUGCCAGCAGCCGCGGUAAUACGGAGGGUGCAAGCGUUAAUCGGAAUUACUGGGCGUAAAGCGCACGCAGGCGGUCUGUCAAGUCGGAUGUGAAAUCCCCGGGCUCAACCUGGGAACUGCAUUCGAAACUGGCAGGCUAGAGUCUUGUAGAGGGGGGUAGAAUUCCAGGUGUAGCGGUGAAAUGCGUAGAGAUCUGGAGGAAUACCGGUGGCGAAGGCGGCCCCCUGGACAAAGACUGACGCUCAGGUGCGAAAGCGUGGGGAGCAAACAGGAUUAGAUACCCUGGUAGUCCACGCCGUAAACGAUGUCGAUUUGGAGGUUGUGCCCUUGAGGCGUGGCUUCCGGAGCUAACGCGUUAAAUCGACCGCCUGGGGAGUACGGCCGCAAGGUUAAAACUCAAAUGAAUUGACGGGGGCCCGCACAAGCGGUGGAGCAUGUGGUUUAAUUCGAUGCAACGCGAAGAACCUUACCUGGUCUUGACAUCCACAGAACUUUCCAGAGAUGGAUUGGUGCCUUCGGGAACUGUGAGACAGGUGCUGCAUGGCUGUCGUCAGCUCGUGUUGUGAAAUGUUGGGUUAAGUCCCGCAACGAGCGCAACCCUUAUCCUUUGUUGCCAGCGGUUCGGCCGGGAACUCAAAGGAGACUGCCAGUGAUAAACUGGAGGAAGGUGGGGAUGACGUCAAGUCAUCAUGGCCCUUACGACCAGGGCUACACACGUGCUACAAUGGCAUAUACAAAGAGAAGCGACCUCGCGAGAGCAAGCGGACCUCAUAAAGUAUGUCGUAGUCCGGAUUGGAGUCUGCAACUCGACUCCAUGAAGUCGGAAUCGCUAGUAAUCGUAGAUCAGAAUGCUACGGUGAAUACGUUCCCGGGCCUUGUACACACCGCCCGUCACACCAUGGGAGUGGGUUGCAAAAGAAGUAGGUAGCUUAACCUUCGGGAGGGCGCUUACCACUUUGUGAUUCAUGACUGGGGUGAAGUCGUAACAAGGUAACCGUAGGGGAACCUGCG